ACUUGUGGUCAUAUCACCCUGAACACGCCUGCCCUUGUCUGAUCUCGGUGGCUGAGCAGCGCCGGGCCUGGUUAGUACUUGGAUGGGAGACCACCUGGGAAUGCUCAAAACAAUACAUUUA
Molecule: ribosomal RNA, 121 nt
Filed under: Salmo salar (Atlantic salmon)
Lineage: Eukaryota; Metazoa; Chordata; Actinopteri; Salmoniformes; Salmonidae
Source: RNAcentral